RNAcentral lists this ribosomal RNA (398 nucleotides) under uncultured bacterium. RNAcentral's name for it is "bacterial SSU rRNA". It matches the Rfam family "Bacterial small subunit ribosomal RNA", at positions 44 to 487 of the family's 1533-position model. The record is from RNAcentral.
ACGCCUAACACAUGCAAGUCGAACGAAGUAGCAAUACUUAGUGGCAGACGGGUGAGUAACAUGUAGGUAUCUACCCUUUGGCCUGGAAUAACACGAGGAAACUUGUGCUAAUACCGGAUAAGUCUUUACGGAGAAAGCUUUAUGCACCAUUGGAUGAGCCUGCACUUGAUUAGUUUGUUGGUGGGGUAAUGGCCUACCAAGACUGUGAUCAAUAGCUGAUUUGAGAGGAUGAUCAGCCACAUUGGGACUGAGACACGGCCCAAACUCCUACGGGAGGCAGCAGUGGGGAAUCUUGCACAAUGGAGGAAACUCUGAUGCAGCGAUGCCGCGUGAGUGAAGAAGGCCUUUGGGUUGUAAAGCUCUUUCGUCGGGGAAGAAAAUGACUGUACCCGAAUAAG